Molecule: ribosomal RNA, 497 nt
Filed under: uncultured bacterium
Lineage: Bacteria
Description: partial 16S ribosomal RNA
Rfam family: Bacterial small subunit ribosomal RNA
Source: RNAcentral
GAUGGACGCUGGCGGCGUGCCUAAUACAUGCAAGUCGAGCGAACAGACGAGGAGCUUGCUCCUCUGACGUUAGCGGCGGACGGGUGAGUAACACGUGGAUAACCUACCUAUAAGACUGGGAUAACUUCGGGAAAUCGGAGCUAAUACCGGAUAAUAUAUUGAACCGCAUGGUUCAAUAGUGAAAGACGGUUUUGCCGUCACUUAUAGAUGGAUCCGCGCCGCAUUAGCUAGUUGGUAAGGUAACGGCUUACCAAGGCAACGAUGCGUAGCCGACCUGAGAGGGUGAUCGGCCACACUGGAACUGAGACACGGUCCAGACUCCUACGGGAGGCAGCAGUAGGGAAUCUUCCGCAAUGGGCGAAAGCCUGACGGAGCAACGCCGCGUGAGUGAUGAAGGUCUUCGGAUCGUAAAACUCUGUUAUUAGGGAAGAACAAAUGUGUAAGUAACUAUGCACGUCUUGACGGUACCUAAUCAGAAAGCCACGGCUAACUACGUG